RNAcentral lists this ribosomal RNA (608 nucleotides) under uncultured bacterium. Its description in RNAcentral is "bacterial SSU rRNA". It matches the Rfam family "Bacterial small subunit ribosomal RNA", at positions 292 to 916 of the family's 1533-position model. The record is from RNAcentral.
CUGAGAGGAUGAUCAGCCACACUGGGACUGAGACACGGCCCAGACUCCUACGGGAGGCAGCAGUGGGGAAUUUUCCGCAAUGGGCGAAAGCCUGACGGAGCAACGCCGCGUGGGUGAUGAAGGCCCUUGGGUCGUAAAACCCUUUUGUCGGGGACGAUAAUGACGGUACCCGAUGAAUAAGCAUCGGCUAACUCUGUGCCAGCAGCCGCGGUAAUACAGAGGAUGCAAGCGUUAUCCGGAAUUAUUGGGCGUAAAGCGUACGUAGGCGGCUAUUCAAGUCUGGGGUUAAAGCCCGCAGCUCAACUGCGGAAAGGCCUCGGAAACUGGAUGGCUAGAGUGCGGUAGAGGCAAGGGGAAUUCCCGGUGUAGCGGUGAAAUGUGGAGAUAUCGGGAAGAACACCAGCGGCGAAAGCGCCUUGCUGGACCGCGACUGACGCUGAGGUACGAAAGCCAGGGGAGCAAAUGGGAUUAGAUACCCCAGUAGUCCUGGCCGUAAACGAUGGACACUAGGUGUUGCGCGUAUCGACCCUCACAGUGUCGUAGCUAACGCGUUAAGUAUCCCGCCUGGGGAGUACGCGCGCAAGCGUGAAACUCAAAGGAAUUGACGG